AUUGCUUCCCUGUUGAAGUGAAGAUAGAAAUGUUCCAUUCUGACCCACCUUUGAAAAACAAUUACUUUGCCCCAUGGAUUCUUUGUUCAAUUAGAAAUUUCCCCGGGGCAGGUGACCCAUAGUCUUAAAGAACAGGCUAAACACCACAGAGAGAUUGGUUGCUUUUUGCUUUUCAUCACCUGCAAGAUUUACAUAAAAAUCACAUAAGCUGGAAUUCAACAAAAGACCUCUGACUAUGUGAAGAUACGGUGGGAAGAUGACUGUCCACAAGACAGGAAGAGAGCCCUCACCGAGGAACCAAAUUGGCCAGUAUCUUGAUCUUGGAUUUCUCAGCCUCAAGAACCAUGAGAAAUGAAUGUCUGUUGUUCAAGCCACCCAGUCUAUGAAAAAGUUUGGAAACCUUCAUCUAGAAAGUGGUCUAGCAAAGUGUGGUCCAUGGAUGAGUUUGAUCUGCAAACUGCUUGUUAUUGGUUCAUGACAAGAAUUGGUUCCAAACAGUAAAGCCGCCAGAAAAAACAGACAAACUCUUAGGAACAAC
Molecule: long non-coding RNA, 538 nt
Filed under: Pan troglodytes (chimpanzee)
Lineage: Eukaryota; Metazoa; Chordata; Mammalia; Primates; Hominidae
Description: lincRNA
Source: RNAcentral